This 253-nucleotide ribosomal RNA is filed under the name uncultured bacterium. Its description in RNAcentral is "partial 16S ribosomal RNA". It matches the Rfam family "Bacterial small subunit ribosomal RNA", at positions 524 to 776 of the family's 1533-position model. The record is from RNAcentral.
GACAGAGGGUGCAAACGUUGUUCGGAAUUACUGGGCGUAAAGCGCAUGUAGGCGGCCUAGCAGGUCGGAUGUGAAAUCCCUCGGCUCAACCAAGGAAGUGCAUUCGAAACCGCAAGGCUCGAGUCCCGGAGAGGAUGGUGGAAUUCUCGGUGUAGAGGUGAAAUUCGUAGAUAUCGAGAGGAACACCUGCGGCGAAGGCGGGUUGCUGGGCUGACACUGACGCUGAAGCGCGAAAGCCAGGGGAGCGAACGGG